This is a non-coding RNA of Saimiri boliviensis boliviensis (Bolivian squirrel monkey), 460 nucleotides long. Lineage: Eukaryota; Metazoa; Chordata; Mammalia; Primates; Cebidae. The record is from RefSeq and is a predicted model, not a curated record.
UGUACAUCUGGUAGAAUUCAGCUGUGAAUUCGUCUGGACCUGAACUAUUUUUCAACCAGAACAGCUUUUCUGCACUGUUGGACCAAGGACAUGCUACCCAGCAACCUCACCCACCUGAAAUGCAGCCCCUCUGCUUCUGCUGAAAGCCUUCAAAGCAACAAUCGUCAUCUGUUAAAUUAGAACCUGGGAGAUCAGGGGAUUGACGGUCACCACACUCACUCCUAUACAAAGACAAACUAUGUACAGACACCCAGGAAGCAACUGGAAAAUGCAACUGGUCUGGGGAUUAACAGACAAAUAGGGAGAAAAAGUCAUUUAAGGUGACCUUUGCCCACCGGCUGUGCACAGGGAGAACCUGCAAUUCCAUUCAUCGAAGCAACACACCACGAUUUUCAUUUGGCAAAUAAAAAUAAAUACAUGUUCAGAAACGGGAGAAAAAUAAACUCAGCUUUUCAUCACA